GCCUCAUCCCUCUCUCCUGGCGAUGCGGGGUUUCGCUCGACGAGAGAGGGAGAGAGGAGACAUGAACCCUCCUUCCAAUCUUCUUGAUGAGGCCCUAGGCCUCGGCCACGGAGGAGCCAUCGCUGCGCUUCCCGCGGGGCGGGUCGUCCUCGUCGAGGACUGCGUCGAGACGAGCGGCGCGUUCGUUCUCCACCACCUCCUGAAGCGCGCCCUCUCCGCCGGCGAGGGUGGCGGGGACGUACUCUUUCUCGCCCUUGCCCAGCCUUUCUCCCACUACGACCGCGUUCUGAGGAAGCUAGGUUGCAGUCUAUCGGUUCAAAGGAACAACAAUAAACUGCACUUUUUUGACAUGCUUAAGCUAGAAUUUCCAGGUCUGACUGGAGGAAAUGACAUUGAAAGUGGUUUUGUUGGAUUGUAUAGUAAGAUUCAAAGGGCUAUAGAAGCGAGAAGGUCAAAGGAAUACAGCAGAGGCUGCAUUACCAUCAUGAUAGAUGACCUCUCCCUUUUAGAGAUAGCUGCAUGUGGUUCUAUAGAUUGUGUCUUGGACUUCCUGUACUACUGUAUUAGCCUCACAGCAGAACUGGAUUGCUCUCUAGUGAUUCUGAACCAUGAAGAUAUCUAUUCAAGCGAGGAGGCCCCAAGGUUCCUUUCACAUCUGGAGUACCUUGCGGAUAUUGUGAUAAAGACAGAACCAUUAAGUACUGGUUUAUCUGCUGAUGUGCACGGACAAGUAUGCUUAUUAUUACUCAAUAACACGAUUGACCAUUUUCAACAAAGGGACUUCCAGCAGACAUGGGCAUUCAAUGAACAAAAUUCAUAACUUCCACUUCAAGGUGAAGGAAAAUGGUGUUGAAUAUUUCUACCCAGGAAGUCAAUAUUGAGGUGGCUCAUAGUUAAUGGUCCACACGGAAUUUGUGUUACUGUUGACCUCUUCAAUUUAACACGGGACUUUUGCCCUCAUCACGAGUCUACCAUAUUCCUCCCUACAUGAUCAAAAGAUAGAGGGAGAGCAGCAUUACCUUCCACUGGCCCAGUGAACAUAGAAGAUGACCCACAUUGUGGGGCAGCUGCUGCCAUAUUCUUGAGAGACAUCUCAUCAUGGUCUGGUGGCUGCAGCCGCUGCUGCAGCUGCAUGCUGUGGAUAUGGUGUUGGUGAUGAUAGAGGUGAUGGCGAUGGUGCACUUGGACUCGACAUUGGAUCUCUCUUGGCUGUCCCACUGAUGCUGCUGCUAAAUCAUCAACUUUCUGUUGCAUAACUUGCUGAGCAGAUGCUUGAAACUGCACAGGAUGGAAGGCUGAAGAGGGAUGGAUACACUUGAACGUUGAUGUAGAUGCUGCUUUUUCCUUGUACGCAACUGGUUUUGUGAAGACAUUAUUGGUGGUGGAGCCCAUGUCAUUGUUGUUACUACUGCAAUCAGAGCCCCGUUUUAGAGGAGCAGCAUAUGAAUUACAUAUCAUAUUGUUUGUA
RNA transcript from Phoenix dactylifera (date palm), 1468 nucleotides. It is a transcript of the gene named elongator protein 6, with no coding region annotated. Lineage: Eukaryota; Viridiplantae; Streptophyta; Magnoliopsida; Arecales; Arecaceae. The record is from RefSeq and is a predicted model, not a curated record.